Molecule: unclassified non-coding RNA, 413 nt
Filed under: Hevea brasiliensis (rubber tree)
Lineage: Eukaryota; Viridiplantae; Streptophyta; Magnoliopsida; Malpighiales; Euphorbiaceae
Source: RNAcentral
GUCUUCAUUGAGACAUCGAUUUCUUUCUGGCUAAGAGAACACCUACUUUUUUCCUCAUACACUAAACCAAACUCUAUAUAUCAAUAAGACACAAUACACUGAAGCAACAAGGCAUAGAACUAUAGCAUUUAGAAACACCUACGCAAACCAUGGCUCGUCUCUUAUCUAUCUUCUUCCUCUCUUUCGUUCUAACCCUAAAAACCUUCCAUGGAAUCCAGGCAGUUGAAUACAUAGUCACAAACCGAGCUCCAACGACCCCAGGAGGAAUCAAGUUCAACAACGAACUUGGCGUCGAAUACACUAAACAAACAAUGGCAUUAGCGAGUGACUUCAUCUGGAGCCUCUUCCAGCAAAACACUGAAGCUGACAGAAAGAACGUGCCCCGUGUAUCCCUGUUUCUCGAUGAUCUUGGU